GCCGGGCGUGGUAGUGCACGCCUGUAAUCCCAGCUACUCAGGAGGCUGAGGCAGGAGAAUCGCUUGAGCCCGGGAGGCGGAGGUUGCAAUGGGCCGAGACCGCACCACUGCACUCCAGCCUGGGCGACAGAGCGAGACUCCGUCUCAA
Molecule: non-coding RNA, 148 nt
Filed under: Nomascus leucogenys (northern white-cheeked gibbon)
Lineage: Eukaryota; Metazoa; Chordata; Mammalia; Primates; Hylobatidae
Source: Rfam by way of RNAcentral